CGGGGGGGAGGGGCGCGGCGCGCGGGCUCAGCGAGCGGGGCCCGGCCGCUCGCCUCAGGCUCUGCGCGGCCCGAGUCGGGGCCGGGGGCCGGGGGCCGGGCGGGCGAUCCGGGCCCGCGUCGGACCGAGCCGGGCAGGUCCCGCCCCUGGCGCGCGCCGGAUUGUUUGGAGAAGACAAGACCACCUCUGAUCUGGACAGUCGUUUCUGCAAAAUAUAAAGAGAGCUCUUUGCCACAGUUGUGCUGGGAUGUGGAUUUGGUAAAAAGCAUUUUGGUUUGAAAAACCGUUCGUCACUCAGAAUAGGUUAAUAGGAUACAGCCAUGAUUUUGCUUAUGAUGUGGCCAUGAAGAAAGUAGUAGCGUUCCUUUGUCUGCCUGUAUUGUAUCUGCAGCUCUCCCAGUACAUCGGAGACUUUUAGUAAUGUGCUGAUUUCUCCCCCUUCCAGAUCAUCAGUGAAAAUGUUAAACAAAAUGAGACCUAGCACUCGUCGUGGUAGAAUCACUAGAUAUCUGCUCCAUACUUCAUACAUAACCAUUUAUUACUUCCCUGUGUUUAUAGUUGUUCUGUCAGUUUUCAGUCUUCGUGACUGAAAUAUCCAAACUGAUUCCAAUUAUUUUUCUAUUAAGAUUUUACGAGGCACAGUCUCAAAUGCUUUACUAAAAUCCAAAUAUAUUACAUCUACUGUGAUCUCUUCAACCAUUAAUUUUUGCAAUUCUGUCAGAAAAGAGCAAUCACAUUUGUCUGGCAAGAUUUAUAUUUUAUAAUCCCCCAGUACUGUUUGUCUCAUGACUGUUACCUUUCAGAUGUUUAGUAAUAUUUUUUAAUGAAAAUGUAUCUUCUGUUAUUUCACUAAGGACUUACAGGACGGUAAUUGAGGGAUCUCUUUUCCUUCUUGUUUUGAAGACUGGUACUGAGUUUGUUGUAUUCCUCUCCACUUCAUGAUUUAUUAAAAAUUAUUGGCAAAAUAAUGUUUAUGUUCAUUCCUUUAACAGUUUAUAAAACAUGUAAUCUGAAUUUGCUAACUUCACAUUGUAAAUUUACAAGUAUCCCCCCUUACCUGCUAUUUAUCAAUACGUGUUUUUACAAAGACUUCCUAAUUUUCAAAACUCAUUUUCUUAUUCUGUUUUAAAAUAUUCUGUAUAUCACUGUCAUUUUAAGAGUUUAUUAAACUGUUUUUAUCAAG
Chelonia mydas (Green sea turtle) is the source of this 1183-nucleotide long non-coding RNA. RefSeq lists it as uncharacterized. NCBI's taxonomy places the organism in Eukaryota, Metazoa, Chordata, Testudines, Cheloniidae. The transcript has 2 exons. The record is from RefSeq and is a predicted model, not a curated record.